Long non-coding RNA from Alexandromys fortis (reed vole), 6723 nucleotides. RefSeq lists it as uncharacterized. Lineage: Eukaryota; Metazoa; Chordata; Mammalia; Rodentia; Cricetidae. The record is from RefSeq and is a predicted model, not a curated record. The transcript has 3 exons.
AAUAGACACAGUGUAUUAGUCAAGGUUCUUUAGAGUUGCAGAACUUAUGGAAUAAAUCUAGAUAGAUAGGUAGAUGAUAGAUAGAUAGAUAGAUAGAUAGAUAGAUAGAUAGAUAGAUAUGAGAAUUUGUAAGUCAUCGGGAUGACUUACAGGCUGUAGUCCAGCAACGGCCAGUUGUGAAUGGAAAGUCCAAGAAUCCAGUAGCUGCUCAGUCCCAUGAGACUGGGUGUCUCAGCUGGUCUUCAGUACCUGCUGGGAUUCUGAAGAAGUAGGCUCCAAUGCCAGUGGAUGUGCUGACAAGGUGAGGGCAGGCAGGUAAAGAAUGGACCCUUCCAUCUUCCAUUGUGCUUCCAUAGGCUUCCAGCUGAAGGUGUGGCUCAGAUUGAAGGUGUGCCUUCCAGCCUCUAGAUCCAGAUCAAAGGCAUGUGCGUUGUCUUCUUGUCGCAAGAACUGGAUCACAAGUGUGCCCUCCAUGUCUGAGUAAUAGUUCGUUCCAGAUGUAGUCAAGUUGACAACCAAGAAUAGCCGUCACACACAGCUUCCAUUUCCAACAGGAAUGUCUGCUGUUGGUUGAGAACAAAGACAAACCCAACACCCUUAACUUAAAUCCCAAAGAAGAUGUAUUGGCUCUUCUAAGUGAAAAUGCAGAGACCAAUGACCAGGUGUGGUUCAUCCUUAGUUUCGGCUCCAUGCAUUACGACUGUCUUGGUUAUGGUGGGUGUAAAGAAAAAAAUCUCCCUAAACAGAGUCCAUUUCUAAGUCAUUAUAGAUACAGCUACCAGUUUCCUAGAGGCUAUGAUAAGUCUGUCUGUCCUGACAUUCAUCCUGAUUGGAUCACUGGUUCAAUACCAUCCUCAUCCAGGUGAUUAUGACCAGCUUUUAUUUUCCGGCCUGGCCAGCAACCUUGAGAGUGUUGAGGAAACUUACCUAAAAAGACCUGUCUGAAUAACCAAGCCAUUAUGGAAUGUCACCCUCGUAAUGCCUGCUUGUCAUCACCAUUAAAAUAUCAGUCUGCCUUGCUGUGUAAGGCCUCUGAUGAGACAGUUCAUCUAAGCAUCCGUCUGUGUGGUCCCACUGAGGUCUGCAGGAACUUCCUGCAUGGAGAGACUCCAGUUCUUUCCUGUGUACAAGGAUGCUGAAGUUCAAAGACAUUGCAUUAUAGCCCAAGUUCCCACAACUCAAAACACGCGAUGUGAUGGGCCUGAAAAGAGGUACCUGCCUCUAAAGACUGAAAGUGUUCCUGUUGUAGGCCUCGUGGGGUCAAACACAGACCACACAUGGUUCUUGGGCCUCCUCAUGGUAUCCUGUACCUAGCUGAGCAUGGACUUGAACCUUUCUUCAUUUCUCUAUUGGUCAUUCAGAGCGACAGUUUCUGAGGUCAGCUGGACUGGGCACAUAAUACUUCCAACAGCUGCCCUGCCCAUUUCUGGCUUUUAUCCCAUCUUAUUAAUCUGCUUGUCCUAGCAUCCAUGACUACGGUGCACCAAACAAAAAGGCAAGAACGAUUCGUUCUGGGGAGCUAUCACAGGUAUGAAAUGAAUCUAGAAAAUUCGGCUCUCGGCCUGGUGACACUUGAGGAAUCCAGCGAGCACAUGCUGUCGGUCAAGUUUGGAGGUUUGUCAAAAGAUCAGUGGCUCCUUUGCUCCACAUUCUUUGGGCACUUGGCAGCUUUCUCAGUGUAGAGUAUUAAAUUUAACUUUCUGGCCCUGUUAGCAUCCCAGGGUCGUUAAAUAUGCCGAGGCGCUUGGUAAUUCAUCUUCCUCAACAUCGUCACAGCUCAGUAAGCCUGCAUUCAUUACCGUCAUGUGAACGUUUAGCAAACAUAGCUGGCAUGUUCUCAGCCUCCACGGGUCUCCAUUUUCACUAAGCUGCCAUGAAAUAUACCAUGUGAACACAAAUAAACAAUUCAUGCCGAGAUGAUGCAUCCCCCUUUGUCUCAGGAAAGACAGUCAAGGUUCAAGUUGUCUGAUGUGAGAAGAUGCGCUGUGUUUAUGCUGAGUAACUGGGAUUCCCAGCCCUGGUGAUGCCUCCUCCCAUGCGAGACUCACAAGAGCACAACCUGCCUGGUGGUUCCUGAGUAACAGCAACACGGCUUCUCAUUCCCUCAGGAUAUGUGUCUACAGUUUGUGCAGCGCCCUUUCCUGUGUUUAUAGUCUGUGGUUGCUGGUUCAGCAGGUUACUAAGUCACGUGAACAGUCACUUCUGUUGCACCGGAGUUUAUGCUAUGGUUUAUUCUAUAGCUUUGCAGUUUUUCUUGCACUUUUUUCUUUGCUAUUUCUCGGGGUGGUGUGCUCUCUGCUAAUUCUCUCCUUAGCACCAGGAGACCACGGUCUGUUGGACAUCUCCUACAAAGACCAGGAGACAAGGCAAGCCGGCUGUGUCAGCCAUUGGAGGGUGUCCUUAAAUGCAUGAAAAAAUAUAAGCUGUUCCUUGCUUCUGGUUGCCUAGAGCGGAUCUUCUGAGGUAAGAUUUAAAGAUGGAGUCAUAGUUUCCUGGUAUUCUCCACUGUGCAAGUUCGGCGGUCUUCUAUGUGGACAUGGUAAAAGAUGCAUACUGCCCCAAGCCUGUCCCCAGACACACACACAGUUAUAAAGAGGACAAGCACCAAUUACCAACAUCUAUACCUCUCUCUCUCUCUCUCUCUCUCUCUCUCUCUCCCUUCCCCAAGUUUCCUUCUUUAGCCCAGACUGGUCUUGAGUUCACCAUGAUGUAACCUACAAAAGUUUUUUUAUUAGGCUGCCUCCAUUUCUAAAGGGCAUGACCAUGACCACCACAUUUGACUUCAAAUACUUUCCUUUCUUUAUUCUUUGUUUUCUCUUUUUUCUUGGAAAGUUGAGGUAAUAUUGACCCAGAAUGUCAUUCCGAUGUUCUGUCUGGACAGGGUAUGAAGCCUCCGUAUUUCCAGCAUACGCAUCAUUCCCUACUUUCUUUCCAGUUCUGAGAUAUAGAGAAAAAAAUAAAGUAAAAUAAGAAAAUAUACCAAUAUAUUUAGCCAGUCUGAUGUAGCCAUCUUCGUCUUUCCUGGAAGGAAAAAUGAAAAUGGGCAUUCCUGUAGAAAUACAACCGGGGCAUGGGUACAUUUGGAAAUAGUCAAGAGUUUUCCUCUUCAAAUUAUGGAAAGAUAACAGAGUGAGGUUGUACAGUUCAUUUGGAUAUGGGAAGAAGAUAUUGUAGAUAGAAAUCUAUAUCUUGUCUUCCCCCACCCCAACUUUGGUUCAUUUGUGACAGUGCCUUGCUAGGUAGCUGUGGCUGGCCUCGGCUUUGCCUUCCUGCUGCAGCUUCUUCAGGAUUAGAGGUAUACACCACUGUGCCCAGGUAUUCCCAUGUGUGUAACAGGGAAAAUGUCUCUGAGAGAAGAACUUAGAUGAAUUCUCCAUUAUGAAGUUAAAUAAACUAUGAUAAAGAUUGUAGCCAGCGUUGGUCAGGAGUACAAGUCAGCUGCAAGUAAUAGAACAUUCUAAAGAACUGGCCGAGUGAAAAGCAUGGGGAACUCCACACAGCUCCAAUUCUGCCAUGCUAUCGUAUCAUCUAAUUUGGGAUUUCUUUAUGUUCAUGGUUGAGAAACAUCUCGCACAUGUUUUAGGCUGAAGAAAAAGGACAAAAGGGGGCUGGGGACCUCUGUCAUGUCGUCCUAACCAGGACACACUCAUAGUUUUACCAGUGUGCAGAAAACUGGACACAAGAAUGGCAUAUGAAUGAGAUUCCAUGUUAUCUCCAUGAGCGGUGUAUGGAAAGCUAUGUUCGAAAGAGGUAAGGAUAGGAAGGCCAACAGAAACUUUCAGGAGUGUAUGUGAACACUCCAGGCCAUUCAUUUGCAUGCACGUGUGGCAUGCAGAGAUGUCACUCUUGGACCAUGGUGGUCACUUGAAUCAUCCCAGGCAGAAGCUUCAUGUGUGGAAGGAAUCACUUUGGUGAUUAUCAGAACCCAAGGAAACACACAACAUCCACGUCAAAGUCAGGCCAUGUUUUCCUCUAGCAGAUUGCAUGGAGGACUGUUGAAUAAAUAAUAUGACUUUAUAUCUUUGUAAGAAAUUGCCCUAAGGAAAUUUUAACUAGGUUCAUAAGUAACUUAAGUCCUGUAUUUAUAGAAUUAUCAAGAGUACUCGGAUGUUUUUGAUCACACUUGGUUAGGUAGCAUGGAGGACUCUCACUUUAUAAUAAUGUUGGCAGCAUUGUAACUUCAUCAAGGCUUCAAAAUACAUCUCUGGUGAAUUCUGGGGUCUCCUCUGUAUAAGCCACUAGCUGUAUGGUUGUAGAUCAAAGUGCUAUCCUUAGGGAAUCAGGGCAGAGAUUAAUGUGGAUACUACUGAUUAGAAAAACUCACUACUUGCAUCUGGAGCUAAUGGACACACAAGAAGAUAUGUUUAAAGGUCGGAUUACAUUUCCAAAAGAACAGCACCAACUCAUUUCGGAUCUCUGUCAACUUCUCCUAUCUGGUACACUUUUGGUAAAACACCAAAACAAACCCACAAUGCCACUAGGCUAGCCAAAACAGGUCUCACAGAGUCAAUUUACUGAAGAAUAAAUAUUUUAUUCCUAGGGAGACCUCACUCUGAGACUAUUUGUUCUGGCUUUGCUUAAAAUGUUGCUAAGAGUGUCUAUCUGGUGUCUCCAUCCAAAAUUGAGUAGGAAUGAAUGACAAACUCAAGACAAAAAAGCAUAAAAGUUGGCCUGCGGAUGGCAGCAAGAAAUUACAGGAACAGAAUGAACCCAAAGAAGAAAAAGAGAAUCUUCUAGAACCUAAGGCCAAGAACCACAAAGGUGCCACUCUGCAGUGCCGUUGAUUAGGGACACUGAUCACACACACUUCAGAAAGCCCUGGUUGCUACAGAGGCUACCAUCUUUAACACUCAAAGGUUCAACAACAACAAAGGGUUGCAUUAGGGCUGGCAAGAUGGCUUACUUGAAUUCAGUUCCUGAACCCACUUGGUGAAAGAGGAAUGGCUUCCAAAAGCUGUCCUCUGGCCUCUACACGUGAGCCAAGUACACACAGACUUCCUCCCCAAUCUAUUUUAAAAGGAAGAUUAACUUGAAUUGAAGAUCAGUGUGCAGGAAAUCUGAGAAAUAUGCCCUCUGUUCCAAGAAAGAUCUUCACUUAAAUGAGUAACAUUUCUCUUAAACGGAAUAAGCCUCAAUUAUCUGGAAAAUCCUCAAAGAGAGCUCAGUUCCCAGGAAAAUCGGGAAAGAUGUUGCUGCAUCCCCGUAACUGAGGUUCUGUAAAUACGUUCAAUUUGUACAAACAUGAGAAAACAAUCAGUGUUCAGAGAGAUAGUCAUCCCUUUUCAAUUAUAACCCAUUUCAGCCAAACUGUAAAUAUGGCCAUACUUGAACGCACGUUGAAAUAAACAUGUUCAAGCAUAUUUAUUGACCUGGAUCAACUCCUUAAGUUCAUUUGAUUCCAGUGUGAAUUGCUUCCAAAGUGCUCGCACCCCCCCCCUUCCUUUCACAUAUAGAUAGCAGAGGCUGGGCUGGACAUUACCAGACAGAAAACAGAUCAAUCAAAAUAGAUCACUCACUCACCACAAGCAUGUGCAGCCCUCGAACCGGUUUUAAUCAGUGUGGUCCAAGUGAGCCACGGAAUGGCAACGCUUCGCUUCCAGUAAAUGCACUUUAAGUAUUUCCCAUUAGAGGAGUAUCAAGUAACAAGCUCGGAAUCAGGCCUUUUCCAAAUGAGUUUUCUGUUCAAUAACCCUAAUGCUUAAGAGGCCAUGCAUUAUAUGGUGCUUGGUAGCCCAGCAGGAGAUGAUACGGAGCUACUUGGCAAUCUGUCCUUCUCAUGUGCCAUUGACAGCAAGGACACUUUCUCCCCCAACUCAGGUGGAAGAAGAGCCUGGCUUUGCUGAGUGGCUCAUCAGGAGUUCCUGGUUAGGCUGGGUGUCGCUGUCUGCCCCGGGCACAGCAAAGGAGACCCUCGCGUCCAGUGCACUGGAUGGAGGUGGUAUAGGAAAAAGAGGACGCAAGCCUCUGCCUGUGGCUAUGAGUUCCUGGCAAUUCCCAGCAUCUGCAGAAGGACCAGGGUUUGGGGAAAGUAAAAGAUUAAAGAAGGUCUCUGUGGCUGAAGACAAAGGAAACUAUUAACCCUGAUUCAUCACCCUCUUCAUAAUGACUAUAUUACCUGCCUCUUUUUACAGCACUUCAUAUGAAUGAAACCCUCUGCCAAGAAUAUUACAUGCAUAGAUGCUCUCAUGUAAUCCCACAAGGUAGCUAAUUUUUUUUUUGUCUUAGGGAAAUGGAAGAAUAAAGAGGCUUGCCCAAAUGGUAAAAUUAAGAUUUGAACUCCAAACACAUUGCUCUUUCUGACCUGUACCCUCUGUAUUAGGAUGUCCGGUCCUCUGUUGUCCUCUAAGUCUCCUUUUUUGCCAUGCCCAAAUGCAGGGGCUGUAACAUCCAUAGGGAUUGGAUAAAUAGCUGAACUGUAGGGAAAGGAUGCUCCUGGGUGCAUCUGUUCUUAUGCAGUAGAUUAGGCACUGAGAUCUAGCUAUCAUCGGCCCGAGGUAAGUUUACACAACACUUUGUGGUUUCCUAUUAACCCCCUGCCAAUCAUCCCCAACAUGUCCCCCAUGACCCUUUUUAUUCCCCCCAUAAAGUAGAUUCAUUUUUUUUCUACUGAAAUCAUUCAUCAUCACCUUCCUUUGGAUCCUAGGUCCUAGAUCUUUAUUCAUUAACAACAUCAUCCUUUUAAUUCUUUGUCCCAUGGAAAUGGGCCCAAAAGCUGAGGAUGGC